RNAcentral lists this long non-coding RNA (251 nucleotides) under Homo sapiens (human). Its description in RNAcentral is "non-protein coding lnc-PPT1-1:1". Lineage: Eukaryota; Metazoa; Chordata; Mammalia; Primates; Hominidae. The record is from RNAcentral.
CGCCAGUCCUGACAACAGCCUAGCAACAACUGGCUAGAGGCUAUGCCCACCUAGACCCCUUUGAGGUCAUGGGAUCACGGAGCCAGAAAUGCCUGUAGAGCAAUCUAGAUUUGAGGGGGAUGACAUUUGAACUGCGAUCUGAAGGGACAAGAGGAAGGUUUAGGCCAGCAUGUCUGGAGUAUGGUGCAAGAGAGAGAAAGAAGUGAAGAUGAGAUUGGAGAAGGAGCAAAGAGCCAGGUCAUGUAGGACAG